UUCAGUGUGAGUGUGAGCGGCUGUGUGUGAGAGUGAUCUGGGUGAAUGUGCGUGUGAAAGCUGUGUGAAAGCUGUGUGAAAGCAUGUGUGUAAGCAUGUGUGUGAGUGUUUAAAAUCUACACCGUGAUCUUAUUUGAUCUGGGCAGAGUUGAGCCCUGCUCUGACUCGGAGGUGAUAGGAAGCCGGUCGCUAGCCCGCUGUGGCGUUGAGCGCUCUCCGGCCCAAAGCUUCAGGGCGCCCGCAGUAGAGCCUGUGGGUAGAGAUGAUGAAUUGAUCAGAUAUACUAGUGCUGCCGGGAUCUGGGGUUUAUCUCCAGUCUUCCCUGAGCGCACAGUGAGUAUAGAGGCGAUUCUGAUCUUC
This is a non-coding RNA of Astyanax mexicanus (Mexican tetra), 360 nucleotides long. The record is from Ensembl. NCBI's taxonomy places the organism in Eukaryota, Metazoa, Chordata, Actinopteri, Characiformes, Acestrorhamphidae.